Molecule: long non-coding RNA, 317 nt
Filed under: Phoenix dactylifera (date palm)
Lineage: Eukaryota; Viridiplantae; Streptophyta; Magnoliopsida; Arecales; Arecaceae
Description: long non-coding RNA (PDAC_LNC008848)
Source: RNAcentral
UUUUGGUAAAACGGCUACUCAUUUCAUAUAAAUCUAACGUGAGUACAACCAGCCAUAUCACGAGAAAGUAAAAGAUACAAAGGAUGAGGGACGUCUGAUGCCUCCGUCCAGAGAAAGUCUCCAGAAUGCCGGGCAACAAAGGAGGCGACCCAAUCAGCUGAUCUGUUCGCCUCCCUAAACACGUGUCCAAUCUGACAAUCACCCAUCAGCUGGAUCAUCCUACGGGUCUCUCGGAUGAGAGGGUGACCAUCCCCAAACCGAUCCGCCCCUCGGAGCCAGUCAAUAACCACUGAUGAGUCUCCCUCGAGGUAGACCCG